GACGAACGCUGGCGGCGUGCUUAACACAUGCAAGUCGAACGGAAAGGCCCGGCUUUUGUGGGGUGCUCGAGUGGCGAACGGGUGAGUAACACGUGAGUAACCUGCCCUUGACUUUGGGAUAACUUUAGGAAACUGGGGCUAAUACCGGAUAGGAGCUCCUGCUGCAUGGUGGGGGGUGGAAAGUUUCGGCGGUUGGGGAUGGACUCGCGGCUUAUCAGCUUGUUGGUGGGGUAGUGGAGUACAAAGACUACGAUGGGUAGGCGGCCUGGGAGGGUGCCCGCCCACCUUGGGCCUGCGAUACGGCCCAGUCUCCUACGUGGCGCAACAGGGGGAAAUUUUACACAAUGGGCCGGCGUCUGAUACAGCAGCGCCGCGUGCGGGAUGCGGGCUUUCGGGUUGUAAACCUCUUUCUCCUGUGACGAAGCGUUCGUGACGGUAAUGGGUAAAGAAGCACCGGCUAACUACGUG
This 468-nucleotide ribosomal RNA is filed under the name uncultured bacterium. RNAcentral's name for it is "partial 16S ribosomal RNA". It matches the Rfam family "Bacterial small subunit ribosomal RNA", at positions 28 to 507 of the family's 1533-position model. The record is from RNAcentral.